This 251-nucleotide ribosomal RNA is filed under the name uncultured prokaryote. Its description in RNAcentral is "partial 16S rRNA". It matches the Rfam family "Bacterial small subunit ribosomal RNA", at positions 525 to 775 of the family's 1533-position model. The record is from RNAcentral.
ACGUAGGGGGCGAGCGUUGUUCGGAAUUAUUGGGCGUAAAGAGCGUGUAGGCGGCCGAACAAGUCAGAUGUGAAAUCCCUGGGCUCAACCCAGGACGUGCAUUUGAAACUGUCCGGCUUGAGUAGGGGAGAGGAAAGUGGAAUUCCCGGUGUAGAGGUGAAAUUCGUAGAUAUCGGGAGGAACACCAGUGGCGAAGGCGGCUUACUGGCCCUUUUCUGACGCUGAGACGCGAAAGCGUGGGUAGCAAACAG